CUGUACGUCGAUAGAAUGUAAAUCAAAUAUCUUCGCCCUGAAAAAGCGUUGGUAAACUUUAUACAACUUUCAACAACGGAUCUCUUGGCUCUCGCAUCGAUGAAGAACGCAGCGAAAUGCGAUAAGUAAUGUGAAUUGCAGAUUUUCAGUGAAUCAUCGAAUCUUUGAACGCACCUUGCGCACCUUGGUAUUCCGAGGAGCAUGCCUGUUUGAGUGUCAUUAAAUUUCUCAACGCCGAUUCGAUUUGGUUUUUACCAUGUCGUUUUGGACGCUUGGAUUUUGGAGCGUGCUGGCCCUUGCCCGGGUCGGCUCCUCUUAAAAGCAUUGGCGGAAUUACGUUGGUCUUUUCGGUCAUCAGUGUGAUAAUUAUGUUACGCUGUCGGCCUAGAUCAAAGUCCGCUUAUAAUGGUCUUUGGACAAAAUUUAACAACCAAAAAUUUGACCUCAAAUCAGGUAGGACUACCCGCUGAACUUAAGCAUAUCAAUAAGCGGAGGAAAAGAAACUAACAAGGAUUCCCCUAGUAACUGCGAGUGAAGCGGGAAAAGCUCAAAUUUAAAAUCUGGCGGUCUUUUGGCCGUCCGAGUUGUAAUCUGGAGAAGCGUUUUCCGCGUCGGACCGUGUACAAGUCUUCUGGAACGGAGCGUCAUAGAGGGUGAGAAUCCCGUCUUUGACACGGACUGCCGAUGCUUUUGUGAUGCGCUCUCGAAGAGUCGAGUUGUUUGGGAAUGCAGCUCAAAACGGGUGGUAAAUUCCAUCUAAAGCUAAAUAUUGGCGAGAGACCGAUAGCGAACAAGUACCGUGAGGGAAAGAUGAAAAGCACUUUGGAAAGAGAGUUAAACAGUACGUGAAAUUGUUGAAAGGGAAACGUUUGAAGUCAGUCGCGUUGGUCGAGACUCAGCCUUGCUUCUGCCUGGCGUAUUUCUUGGCCGACGGGUCAGCAUCAAUUUUGACCGUCGGAUAAAGGUUGGAGGAAUGUGGCAUCUCUCGGGAUGUGUUAUAGCCUCUGAUUCGCAUACGGCGAUUGGGAUUGAGGAACUCAGCACGCCUUUAUGGUCGGGGUUCGCCCACGUAACGUGCUUAGGAUGCUGGCAUAAUGGCUUUAAGCGACCCGUCUUGAAACACGGACC
Molecule: ribosomal RNA, 1128 nt
Filed under: uncultured fungus
Lineage: Eukaryota; Fungi
Description: eukaryotic LSU rRNA
Rfam family: Eukaryotic large subunit ribosomal RNA (bases 440-1128)
Source: RNAcentral